GACGAACCGUGCGAACGUUGUUCGGAAUCACUGGGCUUAAAGGGCGCGUAGGCGGGUGACCAAGUCAGGGGUGAAAUCUUUCGGCCCAACCGGAAAAGUGCCUCUGAUACUGGUCGUCUUGAGGGAGGUAGGGGUCGAGGGAACUGGUGGUGGAGCGGUGAAAUGCGUAGAUAUCACUAGGAACGCCGGUGGCGAAAGCGCUCGACUGGACCUCUUCUGACGCUGAGGCGCGAAAGCCAGGGGAGCAAACGGGAUUAGAUACCCCGGUAGUCCUGGCCCUAAACGAUGGGUACCAGGCUGUGGACUUGACAUGGGUUCACAGCCGAGGCAAAAGUGUUAAGUACCCCGCCUGGGGAGUAUGGUCGCAAGGCUGAA
Molecule: ribosomal RNA, 375 nt
Filed under: uncultured bacterium
Lineage: Bacteria
Description: bacterial SSU rRNA
Rfam family: Bacterial small subunit ribosomal RNA
Source: RNAcentral